This is a long non-coding RNA of Arabidopsis lyrata subsp. lyrata, 947 nucleotides long. RefSeq lists it as uncharacterized. Lineage: Eukaryota; Viridiplantae; Streptophyta; Magnoliopsida; Brassicales; Brassicaceae. The transcript has 7 exons. The record is from RefSeq and is a predicted model, not a curated record.
CCUUCUCUCUCAAACUCGAUUGAAAUCUUGGCGGAAGAUGAGGAGUCGACUCUGUCUUUCUCGUUUUGUACGUUCUCGUCACACGGAGGAGAGCUCUAUCUUCUACUUUUGUCGCUGCCGUAGCAUCUUCACCGCCGAUUUCAUCGCUGCCGUAGUCCCCACACCACCGAUAAUUCCUAGGACACGAAGAGGAUUUGAAUCGGGUAGAUGUUUUACGGAACAUUUAGUGUCGAGAAGUGGCGCUAAAUAUAUCAUGGUGUCCUCUAAAUAUAUCAGCAUAUUACAUUGGAGGUUGGGGAAAUUAUUCCAAUGAAAAAAUAUGAAAAUGGAUUGGGUUCUUUACGUCCCACUUGAACAAAGGGAUAGACAAGUUGAUAGAAAGAACCUUCUAGGUCCGCUCUCAAGCAUUUGUCGGAGGAUUGUGCUAAAAAAUUCAACUAUUGCCUUCCUUACAUCAGAACCUUUAAGGUAGAUGAAUCUAAGCAGAGCACUGUGGUUCAAAUAAGGUUCCCUUUUGAGCCACCAGAUUUUCUUUUAUACCAUAACAGAGACUACUCCUCGGAGGGAUAAUCGUAAAGCCCUUAAGUGAUCACAUCACUAAAGCAUUAGCAAAACAUUGAAGUUGAGAGUACAACACGCACACACACACGUCCAUGUUCUCAGAUGUGAACAAAAGCAACUUCAAGCAAGAUGUGCUCAGAGGUUAAUUAACAACAUCAAGACUGUGAAAAAGAUUUUGGACAUGAAGGUGCAGAAGUCAUACUAUUGAUGAGGCCUAACGAUAAGCUCAUGAUCUGAAGCAAGAUAAUGUUAGGUAGCUUAAGUUGAAAUUUAUGGUUGUGUGACACAAAUAAAGUUCUUUCGGUUUGGUUUUGAAACUAAUGUAGUCAAACUAGAGUUCUUAUUUAAUUGUAUUAUUUUUCAUUAAUUCAAACUGGAUUGAAAUU